This is a long non-coding RNA of Oncorhynchus keta (chum salmon), 388 nucleotides long. RefSeq lists it as uncharacterized. NCBI's taxonomy places the organism in Eukaryota, Metazoa, Chordata, Actinopteri, Salmoniformes, Salmonidae. The transcript has 4 exons. The record is from RefSeq and is a predicted model, not a curated record.
GCUAGUUGAAGCAACAGGUGACGAAAGUCCAUUUUUAUUGCCGACAGUAAAGUUCAGUUAACCAUUAUGCUACAGUACUAAUAUCUGCAGGUGUGUUUGCCCAUAGAGUGGUGUUUUGCAUAGCUGUUGAGCCUCACUGCUCCUGACACUAAGACUGCAGUGUUAUCCUCGUUGUGUCCAGUCAGUCUUCUUAGAGCCACAGAUGAGGAAGAUGCUGAUCAUGCUGGCGUUCCUCCUGACUCAGGUUCAGAGUCAUCUGCACGUUUCCUGAAUCAAGCUGAUUAAUCAAAGUCUGUUUGCCUGGGAGAGAGUGGGUCUAUCAAAGCUGAACCCCUCUGGGGUUCCUGACUCAGGUGUCAUCUGCAAAUAAUUCCCUGAAUCAUGCUGA